GACGAACGCUGGCGGCGUGCUUAACACAUGCAAGUCUAACGGAAAGGCCCUGCUUUUGUGGGGUGCUCGAGUGGCGAACGGGUGAGUAACACGUGAGUAACCUGCCUUUGACUUUGGGAUAACUUCAGGACACUGUGGCUAAUACCGGAUAGGAGCUCCUGCUGCAUGGUUGGGGUUGGAAAGUUUCGGCGGUUGGGGAUGGACUCGCGGCUUAUCAGCUUGUUGGUGGGGUAGUGGCUUACCAAGGCUUUGACGGGUAGCCGGCCUGAGAGGGUGACCGACAACAUUGGGAAAGAGAUACGGCACAGACUCCUACGGGAGGCAGAAGAAGGGAAAAUUGUACAAUGGGCGGAAGCCUGAAGCAGCAACAAAGAAUGGGGGAUGACGACAUUAGGGUUGUAAUCCACAUUCGCCAGUGAAGAAGCGUGAGUGACGGUAAUGGGUAAAGAAGCACCGGCUAAAUAAGAG
RNAcentral lists this ribosomal RNA (468 nucleotides) under uncultured bacterium. Its description in RNAcentral is "partial 16S ribosomal RNA". It matches the Rfam family "Bacterial small subunit ribosomal RNA", at positions 28 to 507 of the family's 1533-position model. The record is from RNAcentral.